GACGAACGCUGGCGGCGUGCUUAACACAUGCAAGUCGAACGGUGAAGCGCCCUCGUUGUUGGUGGGUGUGGAGGAGGGGCGAACGGGUGAGUAACACGUGAGUAACCUGCCCCCUUCUACUGGAUAACCGCAGGAAAGUGUGGCUAAUACGGGAUAUGCUGGGUCGGGCGCAUGAUGGGUCUGGGACAGAUAGUGUUGCGGUGGGGGAUGGGCUCGCGGCCGAUCAGCUUGUUGGUGGGGUGAUGGCCUACCAAGGCGGUGACGGGUAGCCGGCCUGGGCGGGUGGCCGGUCUCAGUGGGUGUGCGGCCCCGUUCGGACUCCUACGCGAGGCAGCCGUCUGCAGUAUUGCACAGUGGGCGCUAGUCUGCUGCAGCGUCGCCGCGUGAGGGAUGGCGGCCUUCGGGUUGUGACCCUCUUUCGCCAGUGAAGCAGGCCUGCCUCGUUUGUGGGUGGGUUGACGGUAGCUGGAUAAGAAGCGCCGGCUAACUACGUG
This 494-nucleotide ribosomal RNA is filed under the name uncultured bacterium. Its description in RNAcentral is "partial 16S ribosomal RNA". It matches the Rfam family "Bacterial small subunit ribosomal RNA", at positions 28 to 507 of the family's 1533-position model. The record is from RNAcentral.